GGUGGGGCAAUUGCAAUAAACGUUGGGGCAAUGGCAAUGGCAACUUAAAUAAGUUGCAAUGACGUAUUGACGUGGGCACGUAGAAUGAAAGAGACGUCUACAUGGCUACCAGCUGACGUAGUUCGUGACGCUGUUAACGGCAAAGCGGCAGCCGACAGACGGACAAACAGACAGACACACAAAUAAUAAAAACUGUUUGUUCGUAAUUUUUGUUCACUUCUUAAGAAUUUGAAUAUAAACAUACCCCAUAUCGGUCAUGCAUUGCAACUCCUUCAUAAUACGAUCCGGAUGACUUGUGGGUAUGUGAUGCUUGAUCGCAAACUUGCGACGCAUAUUGUCCGGCAGAUGAGACUCCCGUUUAAGCGUCGCCAACAGGACGGUGCUGAAGGUGCCAUUGCCAAUACGGCUGUGCACAUCGAAUAUGUGCCCAAUGUCGGGUAUGCGGUGCAGCAGAUCACUAAUGGCCUCUAUCUGGCAGCACUCUUCCACUCCCUCUCUUUCUUGUGCGUCCGCAACAGUGUUGGCAAAACAGCGGUAUUUUCUUAUCAAAUCUGGCUCUUUUCAAAAUACGAUAUAAAUUUGGUUUGUGUAUUAUGCGCAACUAAAUGGCCAGAAAUUAAAAUUCUGGCUGUGAAAAGAUUUAUCAGACUCUGUCCAUGUGCUUCAUAACUGUUGUACUUGUAUUGCAUGCCGCAACCAAAAUUUAUCAAAACGCUAAGAAAAAGUUUGGCGACAGCUCUGAGAUUUUUUUUUAAUGAACUUUGGUUUUACAUUAUAAUGAUGAAAUUCGUGAGGAUAUUGCAUAUUAUCGAAGAUAAAUCAAAAUAAAAUGUUAAUAAACAUGCAGAAA
Long non-coding RNA from Drosophila innubila, 850 nucleotides. RefSeq lists it as uncharacterized. The transcript has 3 exons. The record is from RefSeq and is a predicted model, not a curated record. NCBI's taxonomy places the organism in Eukaryota, Metazoa, Arthropoda, Insecta, Diptera, Drosophilidae.